This 485-nucleotide ribosomal RNA is filed under the name uncultured bacterium. RNAcentral describes it as "partial 16S ribosomal RNA". It matches the Rfam family "Bacterial small subunit ribosomal RNA", at positions 28 to 523 of the family's 1533-position model. The record is from RNAcentral.
GACGAACGCUGGCGGCGUGCUUAACACAUGCAAGUCGAACGGUGAAAGCGGAGCUUGCUCCGCUGGAUCAGUGGCGAACGGGUGAGUAACACGUGGGCAACCUGCCCCUCACUUCGGGAUAACUCCGGGAAACCGGGGCUAAUACCGGAUAUGACCUCCUUGGGCAUCCUUGGAGGUGGAAAGUUUUUCGGUGAGGGAUGGGCCCGCGGCCUAUCAGCUUGUUGGUGAGGUAGUGGCUCACCAAGGCGACGACGGGUAGCCGGCCUGAGAGGGCGAGCGGCCACACUGGGACUGAGACACGGCCCAGACUCCUACGGGAGGCAGCAGUGGGGAAGAUUGCGCAAUGGGCGAAAGCCUGACGCAGCAACGCCGCGUGCGGGAUGACGGCCUUCGGGUUGUAAACCGCUUUCAGCAGGGAAGAAGCCGCAAGGUGACGGUACCUGCAGAAGAAGCACCGGCUAACUACGUGCCAGCCGCCGCAGUAA